UCCUUCUUUUGCUGUUUCUGGUGGUGGGGCAGCUGUAUCGAUCUGGCUUCCACGGACGAUCUCCUUCUUCCUCCCUUCCACGACAUUGUAGAAACGCGCACACGCAUACAUUCACAUCACCAAAGGGACUGCUGCGUUGAGCGCAGUGCGGGCAUCGUCGUCGAUAUGUGGCUUAACGCUGCCCGUCGGUGCGUACGUAGCUAUCCCGGCGACGCCACAGCACAGCUCACGCACGUCAGCUCGGCCGCACGAAAGCAGCCCCGCGCGGCAGCGUUUAUCUUACCCGCUGGCACUGCUCGCUGCUACGCCACGGGACCGGCAGGGACGGACAAUCUUGCCGGCGUCUCGCCGGCUUCUGCCGCGAAGGUGAAAGCUGACAGCAGCCCCGUCUCGUCGAAGACGAAAAGCAGCCGUUUUGUGCGCACCUGCGGCAACGCGGUUCCUCCUGCAACGUCUAGUGCCGAACCCAACGGCGGCGCCAUCCCGCAAGGUGAGGCCGACGCGAGAUGGUCCGCUCUCCACGUGAACUUGUCGGCUCCACCGGGCUUGACCUCUGCCGCUUCCGUGGCAGCGUACCUGCAGCGCCUCCAGAGCCUUCUGCGGCACGGACGCCAUUCUUUCAUGCGCGCCUGUGCCGUGCACGAGCUGGGGAAGAUUUUAUUGCCUUCAGUGAAGGGCAUCGACGGUGCCACUGUACUACUACUGCUGCAGACGCUGCGGAUGGCGGACGCUGACGAGGCCAUGCCCCUUGUCCAAGACGCAACCACGUGGAUGGGUUUGCACGGCUUCCACUUGACCCCGCCACAGAUGACAACCGCGAUUGAGCUGCUGCUGCACUUUGACCGCUCCGUGGCGCGUGAGCUUGCCGUCGCGUUGGUCCAGCGCACGCCCCGGAGCACUCUUUGCUCUUUUUCCACCGCGCGCGUUGUGCCGAUUCUGACGGCAAUGUUGCCAACUCUGACGUACGGCCGAAACAGCAACCUUGCACUCCAGUCGAUCGCGCAACUGGAGCAGGCAAGAGAAAAUAACGUAAUCGCCGCUGAAGGGCUGCGCGACGGAUGCCUGAGCGACGAGUUCCUGUCAGUAUCAUCUGGGUGCCUGACGCAACUCUUGCGCGCCUUGUGGGCCUUUAGGCGAGCGAAUCAAGGCCUCUACAGCACAGUGGCUGCCACCGAGUGGCGAUCCCUGGAGGAGGCUGCGUGCCGCAUACUCGCCACCCCAGAGAAGUGCGCCGAGGUGUCACUCGCUGAACUUAUCAACGUCAUGACCGACCUCACUCAGUGGAGGAAGCAGCGCAACGGCUCGGGCAGCGCGGAGACAGCAGUCAACAACGCGCGGGGACAACUUUUCGCAGCACUUCUUCUUCGGCUAGAGGCGAUCACGGAGCGCCUACGCCGCUGCUCUCCUGAACCGUCCGAAAGGGGCUUUAUCUUGCCAGAGCCGCUGACGAUGAGCGAUAUCUCAGUGGCCUGGUCCCAUUGCUUGGCGCACGCCAAAACUCGCAGCCCCUCUCACGACUUACCCUCCCUUGCAGACAGCGGCGACGGUGCCGACGCCGCAUGUGCAUUUGGGACUUCGCUACAGGCUCUCCAGGCGGCUCUGUGGGGCGUUGUCGCUGCGCGCUGCAGCGCAGAAUCGCAGAGCAUUGACGCAGUGCAGUUGGCUGCGUUCAUGUGCAGUGAGCUAGUAGUGUCCUGGAUGACACAUGCCCACCAGGCACGCGAUGAGGCUCUUGCGCAGGCGGUCGGUGACGACACAUCCGCAGUACUGCCGGAUCUUGCAUCCUUGAUUCCCGAGGCGACACUCCAGGGUGUUGUUGACGGCAUAUCGGCACAGCUACUGGCUGACAGCAUCACAUGGACGCCGCAGAUGGUUCGCCAGGCGGUUACUUUGUUGGGGAACAGCAGAGAUCCCGCGCACCGCGCGCGGGCGCUGGAGCUGGCGAGGAAGUGGUAUCGGCAGCUGCAGUCACGCGCCCAGGAGGGCGAGCGCCUUCAGCCGAUUGAGCUGCUAGCCUUUUUCGUUCCGACUCUGUUGCAAGAGGAGAAGAAGGGCGUGGCGCAGGCGGUGAGAGCGUCCCUGUCGAGGUGGAGCGUUGCAGAGGUGCUGUACUUCUUCACCGAAAUCGCAAUGCACGGCGGGCGCGCAGGUGGUGUGGAGAGCAUGACGGUACUGCGGGACUCGGGCAAGCUGCUCGGCGUGUACGCUGCCAAGGCGUCCGCGCCGCAGCUGGUGGGGCUCGUGGAGUGCUACGGUUUGGCGCAGGUGCGGAGUGAUGACUUCUGUGAGGCGGUUGCUUCUCGAGUGUCAGAGCUGCUGCGAGCCACAGUCGCGGAUGCGUCUCGCGAAAAGACAUACUUGUCAGCCGCGCCACCGACUACUGCGUCCGAAAGUCAGGCAAACUCCUUCGCUGCGGGGGAGGAGCAGGCGAUGCAGACGGAACCUGCCGCCGCGAACAGCACAAGGCCCGGUGCCAUCACCUCUCCGGGAGUGACGAUUUCACAGCUUGCACGGCUGCUCCGCUCCCUUGCACUCAUGGAGACGCGGCAGGUGUCGCCUUUUAUUGACGCCGUUCAUAUCAUCACGCGCGCUGCCGACGCCGACCAGGGCACCGCGGAGCAGAUCACGCAGCUGAUUGCGGCGUAUGCGAAGAUGCUCAUCUGGUGCUAUCCAGUGCUGCGUGCGUUGGCGGAGCGACUUCUGCGAAUGGACAAGUCGGAGGUGACCCUGUCGCACCUCGUUACUGCGCAGCUGGCGCUACUCCGCAUGGACGUCACCCUUCCUUCCUUCACUGCUCGCUUUUAUGAAGAGCUAUCGAAGAUGCACAAGCCAGCGGCAGGCCAAUCCCGUGUCUCGGUCGCUGGUUGCGCCAGUCUGCACGACAUGGUUGUGCAGUUGUCUAUUCUCGCGCGCCUGCGCGGUCACCCGUCAGAGACGCCUUUAGACGAUGCGGUAGCGGAGGUGCUGAUUGAGCGCAUCGUGGCCCACUCAGAUCAUCUGAAGGUGGACGAAGUUGCGGAGGUGCUGCUGUCGCUGAGUCGGCUCGGUAAAGGAAACUCGGCCGCGUUCGGAAGUCUCAACGUUCGGACCCUGGGCAUGUUGCCAAAGUCACCUCCACGGGUGAUGGCGCAUGUGGUGGAGGCAUACGCGCUCGCUGGCCGCGGCGACGACACGGAGCUGUUCACCCUCGUCGCGGAUCGCACUGUAGCCAUGCGCCACGAAAUGGCAUCCGUCACCAUUGCCAGCGUCCUCGCCUCCUUUGCAAAGGCAGGUGUGCGCAACGACAGACUCUUCAUCGAGGUCAUUCCCCGGGUUCGCCACGUCGCGACCUACGGAACCCCGCGCGAUGUGGUGAACGUCGUGAGCGCUUACGCUGCGGUGAAUCUGUGGCACUACAAACUGUUCGCCCGCCUCGCCGAUCGCGCGAUUCAGUUGCGCGCCGACUUCCGCACCCCAGAGGUGGUGGCACUACUCAAGGCGUACGCGACAGUUCAGAUGCGCUACGAUCGUCUCUUCACGGAGUUCGCGCCGCGCAUUCAGACGCUCGUCCACCUGCUCUCGCCGGCAGACCUGGCCUCCAUCGUGUCCAGCUACGCGCAGCUGGACAUACGCUGCCCGCCAGUGUGGAAGGCGACCGCGGCCCAAGCCGUCAUGGUCACCCGCAGCUUCAGCCUCGAAGACGCGAAGACUCUUCUCGAAGCCUACGCGUCGCAGUCGUUCUUUAAUCAAGAGUGCGUCAGCGCCCUAACGGAGCGCUUCCCUGAGCUGGCUAGCAUUUCGUGGGGCUCGGCCGAGACCGUUGCAGAAGGUAACGAGCGUUCUAGCAGCGGCUCUGACGGAUCCGAGAGUGAGCACUGUGGUCAAAACAAAAGCUCGCAGGGCGUGUAAGGCAGAUUAAUGCAGAGUUCCGGUGUCGGGACAGUAGCCUCAUGGGAUGUGACGAGUGCUGUCUGCGAGAGCAACCUCGAGGAAACGAAGAACAAAUCUGCGAUCGAUCCGCACUGCCGGCGACCCGGCAGCGGACCUUCUGUGUGCCUCUUUGUUCUCCCUUUUCCUCAUGGCAGCGGCGCAUACCUCAAUGCGUGUUUUUACACGGUUCAGCGCCUCAUUUUUUUCUGGGGAGGAACCCGGGCCAGUACCCUCCCCGCCUCCCGCCCCCCACCUAUUAUGUACCUUCUGCCGAAUUCCGAGUCACAUGUCGUGGUGGCAGGGUCCAGCACCUACGACGUGGGGAAGCCAGAGCGACGCAUCGCUACUGAUGUCGGCGUUGAGGUCGUGGACGGCGUGGCGUCGGAUCGAGUCUCGGCAGUAGGCACGCACAAACAAAACCACCCACAUGAAGGUUAUGGCUGUGCUUUGCACGGACCGCAUCGCGCCCACUUGCGUGGUACCGCUUUUGCAGGGCUUUCUCUGGCCAUUGUUUGGGUUGUCCUUGUUGGGGGAGGGGGUUUCGCGCGUCUUCAGUGCGUUGCGCGCACGUUGUUUCUUUGUGUCGUUCUCGUAAACGUUUUCGUGCGUGAAAAGAAAAACGACGAAAUGCCGCAAAGGGCAGAACGCGUGGCCAGAUGUGAUGAAGCGGUGAAGAAUGCACCACAAGUAUGCACACGGAGAAAAAGAAGGAAAGCCGACUAUACACGCAAUUCUGUUCGAG
RNAcentral lists this unclassified non-coding RNA (4651 nucleotides) under Leishmania donovani. RNAcentral describes it as "gene:LdHU3.36.6510(CDS-product:hypothetical_prote in_conserved)". The record is from RNAcentral. Lineage: Eukaryota; Euglenozoa; Kinetoplastea; Trypanosomatida; Trypanosomatidae.